GUGAGGAAUCUUGCACAAUGGGGGAAACCCUGAUGCAGCGACGCCGCGUGAGUGAUGACGCCCUUCGGGGUGUAAAGCUCUUUCGACGGGGACGAUAAUGACGGUACCCGGAGAAGAAGCUGCGGCUAACUACGUGCCAGCAGCCGCGGUAAUACGUAGGCAGCAAGCGUUGUUCGGAAUUACUGGGCGUAAAGAGUGCGUAGGUGGUUGGCUAAGUUUGGUGUGAAAUCUCCCGGCUCAACUGGGAGGGUGCGCCGAAAACUGGCCGGCUAGAGUGUGGGAGAGGGAAGUGGAAUUCCUGGUGUAGCGGUGAAAUGCGUAGAUAUCAGGAGGAACACCUGCGGUGUAGACGGCUUCCUGGACCAUUACUGACACUGAGGCACGAAAGCGUGGGGAGCAAACAGGAUUAGAAACCCGUGUAGUCC
RNAcentral lists this ribosomal RNA (425 nucleotides) under uncultured bacterium. RNAcentral's name for it is "bacterial SSU rRNA". It matches the Rfam family "Bacterial small subunit ribosomal RNA", at positions 354 to 796 of the family's 1533-position model. The record is from RNAcentral.